RNAcentral lists this long non-coding RNA (887 nucleotides) under Sorghum bicolor (sorghum). Its description in RNAcentral is "long non-coding RNA (SBIC_LNC000388)". Lineage: Eukaryota; Viridiplantae; Streptophyta; Magnoliopsida; Poales; Poaceae. The record is from RNAcentral.
AGGCAAAGAGGAGAGAGAGAGGGUGAGGAGGAAGAUGAGAGAGAUAUACUACUAAACUAUCUAUCCAUCCAUCAAUCAGCAAUCGCGUGCCGCCUUUCCACUCACGUACACCACCACCACCACCUCUCACCUCGGUUGGUUCGUUGCCGCGUCAAAUCGGGGCAAGAAGCCAGCCCUGUUGCAGUGUUGCUUCGCGUGCUCUGCUGUUGCUUGCUGCACCACGCACGUACCUGAAGAAAGCAGCGAUCCAUCGAUCGACCGGUGGUUCGCUGUCGGCAUGUCGUCCUCGUCCUCGUCGUCCUCCGCUGCCUCCGCGGCCACGGUGUUCCCGCCGUCCCCGCAGCUGCCGCCGUCCCCGCUCCUGGUGGAGAACCUCCCGCCGCUGCAUCAGCUCACGCCGGUAGCGGCGGCGGAGGCCGCCGCGCCGGCCUCCGAGCAGCUCUGCUACGUGCACUGCCACUUCUGCGACACCGUCCUCGUCGUCCGUGAUCGAAUCCCUCCUCUCGAUAUCUCUAUAUUCACAUACAUGCAGCUAGCUGUCCGUGUAGUCUAAAUCUCAAAAGAUUUUACAAGCUUGAAGGUGUUGUGCCUGUGGGUGCAGGUGAGCGUGCCUACGAGCAGCUUGUUCAAGACGGUGACGGUACGAUGCGGCCACUGCAGCAGCUUGCUCACUGUCAACAUGAGGGGCCUCCUCUUCCCGGGAACGCCGACGAACACAGCCGCAGCGGCCGCACCACCAGCUGCUGUCACCGCCAGUACCACCACCACCACCACCACCACCAUCACCACGGCGCCGCCGCCGGCCACCUCGGUCAACAACGGGCAGUUCCACUUCCCCCAGUCGGUCGACCUCGCGCCCAACCCUCACCACCAAUCCCUCCUGCUGG